GUCGCUCAAUCUGCAGGCGUCGCUCCCUCCGCCAGGCAGAGGGAAUCUCAUCCAGCAGCGGCGCUCAUCCCUUGGGUGAAGAACAUCGGUGGGUUUUCGAGGAUUAAGGGUAUGUUCGUGAAGAGGAGGAGGAAUGAUGACGAAGAUGGAUUUGGUGUGAAACCGAAUCAAAUGGAUUUGGAUAGAUUCUGCGUGUUUCCGAUUGAGGAGAGAGAUUUGAGUGAGACGGGGUUUAUUGAACUGAAGCAACAACUCUUCUCUGCAGGAAGGAGCAGCAGAGCUUCUGAUGCUAGAAAUGAGAACUUUGAGAUUCUUGCCGGUUUGAGAACAACUGGGAAUUCUUGCAGGCUUACCAUGAACGAAAGGGGAAUCAAGCAAGGGAGCAGAAGCA
RNAcentral lists this long non-coding RNA (391 nucleotides) under Salvia miltiorrhiza (redroot sage). RNAcentral's name for it is "long non-coding RNA (SMIL_LNC012061)". The record is from RNAcentral. Lineage: Eukaryota; Viridiplantae; Streptophyta; Magnoliopsida; Lamiales; Lamiaceae.